RNAcentral lists this ribosomal RNA (236 nucleotides) under uncultured bacterium. RNAcentral's name for it is "partial 16S ribosomal RNA". It matches the Rfam family "Bacterial small subunit ribosomal RNA", at positions 15 to 244 of the family's 1533-position model. The record is from RNAcentral.
GAUCCUGGCUCAGGAUGAACGCUAGNGGCAGGCUUAACACAUGCAAGUCGAGGGGCAGCAUAAUGGAUAGCAAUAUCUAUGGUGGCGACCGGCGCACGGGUGCGUAACGCGUAUGCAACCUACCUUUAACAGGGGGAUAACACUGAGAAAUUGGUACUAAUACCCCAUAAUAUCAUAGAAGGCAUCUUUUAUGGUUGAAAAUUCCGAUGGUUAGAGAUGGGCAUGCGUUGUAUUAG